AGGAAUCGUCGUGUAGCGGCGACCGGGCGGCGCAACUGUGGCUGAAGGGACGGAAAAAACGGGCGACAUCAGGCUCUGGGGCCGGGAUCUGGUGGCGUGAUGAUGGGUGCGGGAGGCGAGGCUCUGCAGAAAGGGGUGCAGAGGGCUUCCGCUGCCAUUGGGGAAAAGGGGGCGCGGGAACCCACUCUGUUGCUUGCCAGGGACAAAACUGAGCGGCAGCGUCGGAGAAGACGAG
RNAcentral lists this long non-coding RNA (235 nucleotides) under Setaria italica (foxtail millet). RNAcentral's name for it is "long non-coding RNA (SITA_LNC006676)". Lineage: Eukaryota; Viridiplantae; Streptophyta; Magnoliopsida; Poales; Poaceae. The record is from RNAcentral.